RNAcentral lists this ribosomal RNA (1482 nucleotides) under metagenome. Its description in RNAcentral is "bacterial SSU rRNA". It matches the Rfam family "Bacterial small subunit ribosomal RNA". The record is from RNAcentral.
AGAGUUUGAUUCUGGCUCAGAACGAACGCUGGCAGCGUGGAUUAGGCAUGCAAGUCGAACGGGAAGCCGUUGAUCAAUUCUUCGGAAGAGUGAUUCGGUGGAGAGUGGCGGAAGGGUGAGUAACGCGUGGGCAAUCUACCUCCAAGUUGGGGAUAAUUCCGCGAAAGCGGGACUAAUACCGAAUGUGGUCGUAUGUCGCAUGGCAGACUGACUAAUGGUGGGGAUCCUUCGGGACCUGCCGCUGGGAGAGGAGCCCGCCUGCCAUCAGCUUGUUGGUGAGGUAACGGCCCACCAAGGCUUACGGCUAGCUGGUCUGAGAGGAUGAUCAGCCACACUGGGACUGAGACACUGCCCAGACUCCUACGGGAGGCUGCAGUCGAGGAUCAUUGUCAAUGCGCGGAAGCGUGAACAUGCGACGCUGCGUGGAGGAUGACGGCUUUCGGGUUGUAAACUCCUGUCAUGAGGGAAAAACGAUCCUGCAAUCAAUAUCUGCGGGAAGUGAUGGUACCUCAAGAGGAAGCCACGGCUAACUCUGUGCCAGCAGCCGCGGUAAUACAGAGGUGGCGAGCGUUGUUCGGAUUUACUGGGCGUAAAGGGUGCGUAGGCGGCUUCGUGUGUCGGAUGUGAAAUCCCACGGCCCAACCGUGGAACUGUGUUCGAAACUGCGGAGAUAGAGUGCAGGAGAGGAGAGCGGAAUUCUCGGUGUAGCGGUGAAAUGCGUUGAUAUCAAGAAGAACACCGGUGGCGAAAGCGGCUCUCUGGAAUGUUACUGACGCUGAGGCACGAAAGCUGGGGGAGCGAACAGGAUUAGAUACCCUGGUAGUCCCAGCUGUAAACGGUGUGCACUUGGUGUGGGAGGUAUUGACCCCUUCCGUGCCGGAGCUAACGCGUUAAGUGCACCGCCUGGGGAGUACGGCCGCAAGGCUAAAACUCAAAGAAAUUGACGGGGGCCCGCACAAGCGGAGGAGCAUGUGGCUUAAUUCGAUGCAACGCGAAGAACCUUACCAGGGCUUGACAUCUACCUGCAUGCCCCCUGAAAGGGGGGAGGCCUUCGAGGGUGGUAGACAGGUGCUGCAUGGCUGUCGUCAGUUCGUGCCGUGAGGUGUUGGGUUAAGUCCCGCAACGAACGCAACCCUUGUGGUUAGUUGCAACUGCAGGUGAUAAGCCUGCGGGCACUCUAGCCAGACUGCCUGUACAAGCAGGAGGAAGGUGGGGAUGACGUCAAGUCAGUAUGGCCCUUACGCCCUGGGCUGCACACGUGCUACAAUGGUCGGUACAGAAGGAUGCAAUACCGCGAGGUGGAGCUAAUCCCCAAAACCGGCCCCAGUUCGGAUUGGAGUCUGAAACUCGACUCCAUGAAGCCGGAUUCGCUAGUAACGGCGUAUCAGCUACGGCGCCGUGAAUACGUUCCCGGGCCUUGUACACACCGCCCGUCACAUCAUGAAAGCCGUCUGCACCCGAAGUCGCUGAGCCAAUCCCGCC